GAAUUUUCCGCAAUGGGCGAAAGCCUGACGGAGCAAUACCGCGUGAGGGAUGACUGCCUAUGGGUUGUAAACCUCUUUUUUCAGGGAGGAAUAAAUGACGUGUACCUGAAGAAUAAGCAUCGGCUAACUCCGUGCCAGCAGCCGCGGUAAGACGGAGGAUGCAAGUGUUAUCCGGAAUCACUGGGCGUAAAGCGUCUGUAGGUGGUCAAAUAAGUCAACUGUUAAAUCUUGAGGCUCAACCUCAAAAUCGCAGUCGAAACUAUUAGACUAGAGUAUAGUAGGGGUAAAGGGAAUUUCCAGUGGAGCGGUGAAAUGCGUAGAUAUUGGAAGGAACACCGAUGGCGAAGGCACUUUACUGGGCUAUUACUAACACUCAGAGACGAAAGCUAGGGUAGCAAAUGGGAUUAGAUACCCCAGUAGUC
This 422-nucleotide ribosomal RNA is filed under the name uncultured cyanobacterium. Its description in RNAcentral is "bacterial SSU rRNA". It matches the Rfam family "Bacterial small subunit ribosomal RNA", at positions 359 to 795 of the family's 1533-position model. The record is from RNAcentral. Lineage: Bacteria; Bacillati; Cyanobacteriota.